AUUGAACGCUGGCGGCAGGCCUAACACAUGCAAGUCGAGCGAGCGGCGGACGGGUGAGUAAUGUCUGGGAACUUGCCUGAUGGAGGGGGAUAACUACUGGAAACGGUAGCUAAUACCGCAUACCCUCAGAUGUGCCCAUAUGGGAUUAGCUAGUAGGUGGGGUAACGGCUCACCUAGGCGACGAUCCCUAGCUGGUCUGAGAGGAUGACCAGCCACACGGGAACUGAGACGCGGGCCAGACUCCUACGUGAGGCAGCAGUGGGGAAUAUUGCACAAUGGUCGCAAGCCUGAUGCAGCCAUGCCGCGUGUGAGAAGAGGGCCUUCGGGUUGUAAAGCACUUUCAGCGGGGAGGCGUUACCCGCAGAAGAAGCACCGGCUAACGCCGUGCCAGCAGCCGCGGUAAUUC
RNAcentral lists this ribosomal RNA (406 nucleotides) under uncultured bacterium. RNAcentral's name for it is "partial 16S ribosomal RNA". It matches the Rfam family "Bacterial small subunit ribosomal RNA", at positions 30 to 526 of the family's 1533-position model. The record is from RNAcentral.